UGCGGGGGGGGCAAGCGUUGUUCGGAAUUACUGGGCGUAAAGGGCUCGUAGGCGGCCAACUAAGUCGGACGUGAAAUCCCUCGGCUUAACCGGGGAACUGCGUCCGAUACUGGAUGGCUUGAGUGUGGGAGAGGGAUGCGGAAUUCCAGGUGUAGCGGUGAAAUGCGUAGAUAUCUGGAGGAACACCGGUGGCGAAGGCGGCAUCCUGGACUACUACUGACGCUGAGGGAGCGAAAGCCAGGGGAGCAAACGGG
RNAcentral lists this ribosomal RNA (254 nucleotides) under uncultured bacterium. RNAcentral's name for it is "partial 16S ribosomal RNA". It matches the Rfam family "Bacterial small subunit ribosomal RNA", at positions 524 to 776 of the family's 1533-position model. The record is from RNAcentral.